This 497-nucleotide ribosomal RNA is filed under the name uncultured bacterium. Its description in RNAcentral is "partial 16S ribosomal RNA". It matches the Rfam family "Bacterial small subunit ribosomal RNA", at positions 28 to 507 of the family's 1533-position model. The record is from RNAcentral.
GAUGAACGCUGGCGGCGUGCCUAAUACAUGCAAGUCGAGCGAACGGACGAGGAGCUUGCUCCUCUGACGUUAGCGGCGGACGGGUGAGUAACACGUGGAUAACCUACCUAUAAGACUGGGAUAACUUCGGGAAACCGGAGCUAAUACCGGAUAAUAUAUUGAACCGCAUGGUUCAAUAGUGAAAGACGGUCUUGCUGUCACUUAUAGAUGGAUCCGCGCCGCAUUAGCUAGUUGGUAAGGUAACGGCUUACCAAGGCAACGAUGCAUAGCCGACCUGAGAGGGUGAUCGGCCACACUGGAACUGAGACACGGUCCAGACUCCUACGGGAGGCAGCAGUAGGGAAUCUUCCGCAAUGGGCGAAAGCCUGACGGAGCAACGCCGCGUGAGUGAUGAAGGUCUUCGGAUCGUAAAACUCUGUUAUUAGGGAAGAACAUAUGUGUAAGUAACUAUGCACGUCUUGACGGUACCUAAUCAGAAAGCCACGGCUAACUACGUG